Non-coding RNA from Myodes glareolus (Bank vole), 969 nucleotides. NCBI's taxonomy places the organism in Eukaryota, Metazoa, Chordata, Mammalia, Rodentia, Cricetidae. The record is from RefSeq and is a predicted model, not a curated record.
GUCAAGGGAGCUGCUCGGCGGGGCACGGGCCACGGCGGAAUAUAUUUAGACAGCGCUGAAGCCGUCCCGUUAGCCGGCCGACCGCAGCCCCGCACCGCGUCCCACUCGGUGACCCGAACCUGCCGGACGCCGCACACGGUCCCGCCACCGCCGGCCGUGCCCGAACCGAGGCUCCCCCAGGGCUCGCCCGCCGCAGCGCAGGGCCGUACGCUUUUUCCUCGUCACUAAGGGGGAAGGAAAGGAGAGGGGCCCAGGAAAGUGGAUGGAGGUGUGAAUUCUGUUUGGAGCACAAAAACAUGACCUCGGGAAUGCUUCACUGAAAGGCUGAGGAAAGCGUCUUCCUAUCUGCAACAGAGGGAUGUGUGCUGUUAUGAAAACAUUCCUCUGGACAUCAGUGAACCAGUUUAUCAUGGGCCAUGUCUUCAAUACUUUUAAACGUGUACCUAGACUUUUUUUCCAGGUUUUUGCUGUGCUGGAUAUUGAUGCAGGGCCUUGUGCAUGCUAGACAGGCACUCUACCACUGAAUUACCUGCCCCAGGUUCUUCCCAUAGAUUUUCUUAUUCAAUGCUUCAAAGAAAACUUGGAGAGAGGCAUUAACUAACACCCACUAAAGCUUCAAAACUAAGGGGAACUACAGAGAAACAGAAGGAACAGAAGCAGAAGAAAGAGCCCCUGGGCAACAGAUGAGAUGGGACAUGUCGCGGUGAGCGGAGACCACGUGCCCUGAAAGGUGCUGUUGAGGGAACAGAAAGGAGGCGGGCCACCACUGACACUGCUGGUGGCUCAAGAGCACGGAUGGACUCUUGGGAAAAAGCAGCCACAGAUGUGAAUCAAGUAUCAUGACUGUAAUCAAGGGCAUGGCUGUUAUUGAACAGAGAGCUUCCAAGUCACUGAAUGUGCUGCAUCUUUGUAAUAGGCUUGCGUCAAGAAUGCCCUGAACUAGAGUGAUGCCAAAGACCAUGACCUAGA